Molecule: long non-coding RNA, 888 nt
Organism: Nymphaea colorata (pocket water lily)
Lineage: Eukaryota; Viridiplantae; Streptophyta; Magnoliopsida; Nymphaeales; Nymphaeaceae
Exons: 3
Source: RefSeq, a predicted model, not a curated record
AUGUGUUGUUGAUGUACUGAACACGAAAUAAUGCCUUUUCUUUUUAUGUUUGUUGUGGUUUAAAGCAUAUGUUGCUGGCAACCGAAACUGUUUGAUAUCGGCAUUUCCAAUGGGUUAAACACUUGCUGGAAGCUCGAGUCCAGACAUAGAAUUGAGUUGCAGCUUAUGACCAAGAGAUUGGAGUAAGGCCGAGAGAGCAAAGUUUGCUGGCCUAACACUUACCAUGGGGGAGAUGUUGAUUGGAGAAAAAAGAGGGAUUCCUUCCGACCAACCUCCAAAGUGCGAAAAUGAAAAAGAAGAAAGAAAAGGGAGCACCAAGAGUGGGAGGGGGCAAAUUUCUCUCCAUUGAGCUGAAGGUGAUGGAAUGAUUUUCCUCGAAGCAAACCUCAAAGGUGCUUAUAAAAAAAGAAAAGAAAAGAAAAAGAAACAUAUGGGGGCACCAAGACGGUGAGCUGAAGGUGAUGUGUUUUGGAUGAUCAUAAAUCUCAUUUUGUUCCGUUCUUCUUGGUAGACAAUAUUUGUGUGUUUUACAAUUCACAGGUACACAUAAAUGCUUUAUAUUCUCCCUGCUGCCAAGGUGUAUGCCUAGCUCUGUCUUCAAACACUGCUUUAUAGUGCUCAGAUGAGGCCUUCAAGUGUAUUUUCAUACUGAGGAAAAUUGCUGGCCAAUGAAGCUCAACCAAGAGGUUGUGAAGAAACAGAGCUUCCAACGUUUCAUCUUGGUGAUGAAGCCUUGAAGCCCAUGUCCUCUUGAAUAGCCUAUUCUCACGUCCUUAAUUUGUUAACUUGAACGUGCUCAUCUUCUUUGGGCAUCCCACGUGAGCCAAGAGUCGUCCUACAUUAAGAGAUGGAUUGUGCGCUGUGGAUUGUUCAACAAAGGAGAUGAAU